This 1637-nucleotide long non-coding RNA is filed under the name Penaeus japonicus. Its description in RNAcentral is "uncharacterized LOC122253947". Lineage: Eukaryota; Metazoa; Arthropoda; Malacostraca; Decapoda; Penaeidae. The record is from RNAcentral.
UUCACGGAAAGUUAUCAUUGUGUUUCACUGAAUCACUAUUGUAGAAAACUUUGUUCUUUAAUAAGUACAGUCACUAUAUCGGGGUCCAUGCGUGAUAAUGGUGGGUGGCCACCUAGCAGUGGCGGGAGGGUCGGUGGCUCACCUGACACGUGCCGCCACAUGCCGGCCACCUGCGUUCUCCGAGAGUCUCCAUUGGCGGGCUCAACCCCUAUGCUGGCCGCUCAUUGGUCCGUCGGGAGCGUCCGGCCCACCGCCCCUCUCGGGUUGGCUGGCGCGGCGCGUGGCAGGUUGUUUACUGGGCCCUGAUUGGUCCGCGACACGCGUGGUGGGUGCACCUGCCGGUGACCGCGUAUAUAAGCUCGCCAACCUGGUUUGGAAAUCACUACAGCCUCAGCUUGUAGCCGAGGAACGUCCUCUGCUGUUAGGACCUCCUCGUGGCCUUUUUGGCCCUUAAUAAAUCAUACUUCACCGUCGUGGCUCGACCUCCCCGGAAUCCCGAGCAAUGGAGGAUCAGCCAGAACGACACCCCCUAGUCAGCUGACGUCGGCAGGCGCCAGUCAUCCUAGUCCUUGAGUCCCAGGACUCUUCUAGUCGACCUUCUUCUAGUCCAACCUCCAUUAGUCAGGAGUUGAGUCUUCGGACGUCGGGAUCAACGAAUUCCCUUCAGUCCACAGCCCUUUCGGGUGCAGCUUCAAGCCUUCUUCUAGUCGCCUUCGAGGCAGCCGUGUUGAGGAAAUGGAAUCGCAAGUGUUAGGCGAGUCGAGUGUUAGCUGUGCGUCUCGUGAGUUCGGAAUGAGUAUGCCCCCUUCUUCGAGGACGUCGGCCGUCACCAUGACCGCUGCGCAUCUGUGCAAGUCUCCAGAACCCUUCAUCGUAGUCAGUGCAACAUGUUAGUCGUCUGCUGCCCCUCCAAAGUAACUUAGUCGUCGGAGGGGCUAGUGCUUAGUCGCAGUUAUCCAGUGAAGAACGACCCCAAGAACUUAGUCAAAGAACUCCCCGAUCAACCCGUUCCAGCUGCUACUGUCAAGUCGCUGGGCAAGUCAGUGAUCUCUGGGAGAUAGUCAACCCUAGUCUACCGAUCUACCAGUCUACCUGUAGUUUGUAAGAGGACGAGUCUACCCGCCACAGAUGGACCACUAGUUCAUCGCCAAAGAUCUCACCAGUACUACCUACCAGUUGUAGUACUGACAACUGGGCAUUCCAGUCUUGCAGUAUUAGUUUACUGUUCAGUAUUCAUUCUAGCAUUAAGUCAUCUUACCAAAGAUUAUAUUUACAGAGCCAGUUACCAAAAAUAGUCAGUAAGAGCUAACAUCCAAAGUCUUGUUUACCAAAGAUGAGUUACUAGUACUAGUCAGCUAGUUCUCCUUCAUUAGUCAUCAUAGUUAAUAGGACACUUUACCAAAGAUCUCAGUAGGUUAGGAAAUAGCAAAAAAAAAAAAAAAAGCAGCAUUCACCAAAGAUCUCAAUCAACAUUAAUUGCAUAUUACAUUGCAUCGGUUCACCAAAGAUUUAGCAAUAGUUUUACGUUUAAUAUUUUCAAAAAUUGACAGCUUCUCACCAAAGAUCUCAACAAACAUAACAUUUUUUAAAAAAAGACAAAAAAAAAAAGAACAGCUAUUAACCAAAUAUUGCAUAAC